ACGUGAGCCCACAUCUAUCCAAAAUGCAUCGGAAGUUGGAAACCUACAGCUUUUACCAAUUCGAGUCCAAAUGAAGGUCCUUGUCAAAGUCAGCUAACUAUGGAAUUCCCCGAGCCUGAAAUGUGAGGAAAUGAGGGUGGUGAGAUUAUAAAAUCCCAAUGAGUAAACAUAUACCAUCUAAACUAUCUUAAGUCAAGUAAAUGGAGACAAUUAAAAUAAAUCAUCAUACUGUAAUUUCAUUACCUUUCAACUCAUUUCAACCAAAUAAAAUCAAUCCAUAAAAAUCGAGUAAUCAACUUGGCUUAUGAAUUUCUUAAAACUUUGGCUCGUGCCAAAACUCAUACUCGGUGAUACCUUGCGCAGGGCAUCCAACCGAGUCUGCCAAGGCUGUUAAAAUUUUGUAUACACUUAAAAUAUAUUUUUAGUUUGAGAAAAAUACAGCCGUUCCUUGGCGUUGGCUGAGUUCCCCUUCACGUGGUGGUUUGGCGUGAAGUGAACCCUAAGCUUUACCCCAGGAGAUACCCUACGCGCCUCUCCGUUCGAGGUAAUAAUAUAAUGGAGUUUACCGUGCCCCUCUAAUAGGCUGGUCCACGGAACCCCCUCUGCAGUAAAUAAUUAAUAUAUAAUCCACCAAUCAAUAAAAUUCAUUCUAGCAUGACAUGGCAAUUUAUCGCAACCUAGCCUCUCAAGGCUGAAUACACAGUAUAAAUAAUUCUAACACCAAAAUCAGUUUAGCCAUUCAUGCUCAUUUAUUAUCAUAAGCCAUUCAAUUCAAAACCAUAAAUUUGCAACACAAACUAGCAGUCUCCAAUUACUCUAUUUUCAAAACCAAUAUUCGAUUUUUCAGAAAAUUUAUAAAAUCAUUUUAUAAAAUCACAAUUUCUCUUAAAACAUAGCAAUUUACCAUUUAAACCCAUUUUUCAUAAAAUCACACAAUUGUAUAAAACUACUCUAGAUAAUUAAGACGAUAAUAAGUUCACUCACAGUUCUAGGAGUCGAUGUACUCCUAAUCCCAGUCUCCAAGCACAAUUUCUGUACUUUUACCAGUGUACUUUGCUCACCACCU
RNAcentral lists this long non-coding RNA (1066 nucleotides) under Theobroma cacao (cacao). Its description in RNAcentral is "long non-coding RNA (TCAC_LNC005878)". The record is from RNAcentral. Lineage: Eukaryota; Viridiplantae; Streptophyta; Magnoliopsida; Malvales; Malvaceae.